This is a long non-coding RNA of Paramormyrops kingsleyae, 1694 nucleotides long. RefSeq lists it as uncharacterized. The record is from RefSeq and is a predicted model, not a curated record. NCBI's taxonomy places the organism in Eukaryota, Metazoa, Chordata, Actinopteri, Osteoglossiformes, Mormyridae.
AUAAUUUUCAAUAAGUACACAAUACAUAGUUAUAAUACGAAAUAGAGUAAAAGCAUGUAUUGACUUUUAAAUGCGAUGUGUAUAUAUAACACUUCUGUGUGCCAUUCAGACACUUAGUAUAAUUCUUCAGACCCUCCAAACCUUUAGGAAGAUCCCCUGCAUCUUUCUUACUCUAGACCACAGGCUGGUCAAUGGCUAAUGCUGCUGUAACGGGCAUCAUGUGCUGGUGUUAGUCUCCUCAUCAUUAACUUUAAUGAUGAAGGAAUAAACCAUGCACUCUCUAGCAUACCUUGCAAAGUGAGGCUGUAGGACCUUCAUAUGGAAUGAUGAGAAUAUCAAACAGAUAUGUUCAUUAUGCCUUUAUGAUGUAAUUACAGGGCACACAUAUCUUUCUGAUUCCAUAUUGUGUCUCUUAAUCACACAAACAAGCUUCAUCCCAAAGGCUUUAUUGAUUUGUCACACCUCUGUUGACAUUUGACUGGUAAUCCUUUGAAGGAGAGCUAAUCAAAAGACCCUUUUCUCUCCUGCUUGACGCAGAAGACACCACUCAGCAAGGCUUCCCCACUGCUCCUCAAUGAAUUGUCACCAUUUUAUUCCUACCACGAGUGUAGGAUGAUCUUUCUCUCCCCAUUCAGGACAAAUCAUGGAUGAUCCCUGAUCAGCUGUCAUGGCACAAAGUGCCUGGACUCCACUAAUACAUUCAUUUCUUCUAAGAACUAUCUUCGGGGUUUAAUUUUGAAGAAACUGUCCUGAGUUUUUCCAUAAUGUUUGACAUCAUAGCAUAGACUCCAUUGAUUUGUUUGUACAAUCAUGGACCUCCAGGUUAUUAUUAUUUUUUUAUACCUGCAUACUGUAUGUAUAAUGAACUUCUUCAGUAAAGAGCAUACAGAAGUAAGCACAUGGUGAAAUAACUCAUUUGUUAAACAACUGCUUUAGGGAACUUAGUGGAAUCCUGAUCUGUGACUCACAAAAGCAUUCCUCUUGGAACAGUGGAUGAGGAGCUGAAAGAGUCAGUAAGGUCUGAGGCCAGCAUCUCAUCAACGUCUUCAUAUCAUCAUCAUCAUCAUCAUCAUCAUCAUCACCAUCAUCAUCAGUCUGUCCCAGGCAGUACUAAGCAUAAAGGACACCCGGGCUGGAUACCAGUCCAUCAAAAAUACUCUCCCCUGCUUUAGAUUAUUCACUUGAGAUUUUCUCCUGCUUACUGUAAUAUUUCUUACCAUUAUGCUCUGUGGUAAUCAUGAUCGUGGCUUAUCCCUUACUAGGGAAUGGCUCACAAAUGCAGUGACUACAUGGCUUAUUAGAUACUUUCAUGUUAUUCCAGCUAUAAAUUACUACCCUUGAUGCAGUAGGUCUACAUCCAGCUAUUCGUCCAGUACAGGAUCACAUUCAUUGGCCACUGGUGGAUGCAGUUUUUGGGGAGACAAACAAACUGAAGCAGCACUUCAUAGCACAUUCGCUGGCUGCUGGAUUUGCAAAUCGGGUCAGUCCGCUCCGGAUAACGCUUUAUAUCAGAGGUCUCCAACGCAGGUGACUCCAGACUGUCAGCCAUGACACAUCUAACAUGCAAAAGCAUUCUCUACGUCCGUGGGGGGCUCCAGUGCAUCAAACUGAGACCUCAGCAGAUCAGCGGACAUGAAAUGGUCCCUCCGUGCCGACAGCCGCUGGUGUAUGAGCUGAAAGUCACCGUGGAGGAA